This 465-nucleotide ribosomal RNA is filed under the name Vreelandella stevensii. RNAcentral describes it as "partial 16S ribosomal RNA". It matches the Rfam family "Bacterial small subunit ribosomal RNA", at positions 338 to 795 of the family's 1533-position model. The record is from RNAcentral. Lineage: Bacteria; Pseudomonadati; Pseudomonadota; Gammaproteobacteria; Oceanospirillales; Halomonadaceae.
CCUACGGGGGGCAGCGGUGGGGAAUAUUGGACAAUGGGGGCAACCCUGAUCCAGCCAUGCCGCGUGUGUGAAGAAGGCCCUCGGGUUGUAAAGCACUUUCAGUGAGGAAGAACGCCUGGUGGUUAAUACCCAUCAGGAAAGACAUCACUCACAGAAGAAGCACCGGCUAACUCCGUGCCAGCAGCCGCGGUAAUACGGAGGGUGCGAGCGUUAAUCGGAAUUACUGGGCGUAAAGCGCGCGUAGGUGGCUUGAUAAGCCGGUUGUGAAAGCCCCGGGCUCAACCUGGGAACGGCAUCCGGAACUGUCAAGCUAGAGUGCAGGAGAGGAAGGUAGAAUUCCCGGUGUAGCGGUGAAAUGCGUAGAGAUCGGGAGGAAUACCAGUGGCGAAGGCGGCCUUCUGGACUGACACUGACACUGAGGUGCGAAAGCGUGGGUAGCAAACAGGAUUAGAUACCCGAGUAGUC